UACAGAGGGGGCAAGCGUUAUUCGGAAUUAUUGGGCGUAAAGGGCGCGUAGGCGGCUUUUCAAGUGACGGGUGAAAUCCCUCGGCUUAACCGAGGAACUGCCUGUCAGACUGGAAGGCUUGAGACCGGGAGAGGUGAGUGGAAUUCCCAGUGUAGCGGUGAAAUGCGUAGAUAUUGGGAGGAACACCGGUGGCGAAGGCGGCCCCCUGGACCGGUACUGACGCUGAGGCGCGAAAGCGUGGGUAGCAAACGGG
Molecule: ribosomal RNA, 253 nt
Filed under: uncultured bacterium
Lineage: Bacteria
Description: partial 16S ribosomal RNA
Rfam family: Bacterial small subunit ribosomal RNA
Source: RNAcentral